Long non-coding RNA from Oncorhynchus keta (chum salmon), 1098 nucleotides. RefSeq lists it as uncharacterized. The transcript has 6 exons. NCBI's taxonomy places the organism in Eukaryota, Metazoa, Chordata, Actinopteri, Salmoniformes, Salmonidae. The record is from RefSeq and is a predicted model, not a curated record.
UCAGUGGAGUAGUGCUGGGGGACAAACCAAAAGGUCCGUGAUUAUCUGAAUCAGCAGAGUAGUGCUGGGGGACAAACCAAAAGGUCUGUGAUUAUCUGAAUCAGUGGAGUAGUGCUGGGGGACAAACCAAAAGGUCAGUGAUUAUCUGAAUCAGCAGAGUAGUGCUGGGGGACAAACCAAAAGGUCCGUGAUUAUCUGAAUCAGUGGAGUAGUGCUGGGGGACAAACCAAAAGGUCUGUGAUUAUCUGAAUCAGUGGAGUAGUGCUGGGGGACAAACCAAAAGGUCCGUGAUUAUCUGAAUCAGCAGAGUAGUGCUGGGGGACAAACCAAAAGGUCUGUGAUUAUCUGAAUCAGUGGAGUAGUGCUGGGGGACAAACCAAAAGGUCUGUGAUUAUCUGAAUCAGUGGAGUAGUGCUGGGGGACAAACCAAAAGGUCCGUGAUUAUCUGAAUCAGCAGAGUAGUGCUGGGGGACAAACCAAAAGGUCCGUGAUUAUCUGAAUCAGUGGAGUAGUGCUGGGGGACAAACCAAAAGGUCUGUGAUUAUCUGAAUCAGCAGAGUAGUGCUGGGGGACAAACCAAAAGGUCUGUGAUUAUCUGAAUCAGCAGAGUAGUGCUGGGGGACAAACCAAAAGGUCUGUGAUUAUCUGAAUCAGCAGAGUAGUGCUGGGGGACAAACCAAAAGGUCCGUGAUUAUCUGAAUCAGCAGAGUAGUGCUGGGGGACAAACCAAAAGGUCCGUGAUUAUCUGAAUCAGCAGAGUAGUGCUGGGGGACAAACCAAAAGGUCCGUGAUUAUCUGAAUCAGUGGAGUAGUGCUGGGGGACAAACCAAAAGGUCCGUGAUUAUCUGAAUCAGCAGAGUAGUGCUGGGGGACAAACCAAAAGGUCCGUGAUUAUCUGAAUCAGUGGAGUAGUGCUGGGGGACAAACCAAAAGGUCCGUGAUUAUCUGAAUCAGUGGAGUAGUGCUGGGGGACAAACCAAAAGGUCCGUGAUUAUCUGAAUCAGUGGAGUAGUGCUGGGGGACAAACCAAAAGGUCUGUGAUUAUCUGAAUCAGCAGAGUAGUGCUGGGGGACAAACCAAAAGGUCUGUGAUUAUCUG